CAGUCGCCACGGUAAUACGGAGGGUGCAAGCGUUAAUCGGAAUUACUGGGCGUAAAGCGCACGCAGGCGGUCUGACAAGUCAGAUGUGAAAUCCCCGGGCUUAACCUGGGAACUGCAUUUGAAACUGUCAGGCUGGAGUCUUGUAGAGGGGGGUAGAAUUCCAGGUGUAGCGGUGAAAUGCGUAGAGAUCUGGAGGAAUACCGGUGGCGAAGGCGGCCCCCUGGACAAAGACUGACGCUCAGGUGCGAAAGCGUGGGGAGCAAACAGGAUUAGAUACCCCAGUAGUCCCCUGUCUCUUAUA
Molecule: ribosomal RNA, 301 nt
Filed under: uncultured bacterium
Lineage: Bacteria
Description: partial 16S ribosomal RNA
Rfam family: Bacterial small subunit ribosomal RNA
Source: RNAcentral